RNAcentral lists this ribosomal RNA (493 nucleotides) under uncultured bacterium. RNAcentral describes it as "partial 16S ribosomal RNA". It matches the Rfam family "Bacterial small subunit ribosomal RNA", at positions 27 to 507 of the family's 1533-position model. The record is from RNAcentral.
GAGUGAACGCUGGCGGUAGGCCUAACACAUGCAAGUCGAACGGCAGCACAGUAAGAGCUUGCUCUUACGGGUGGCGAGUGGCGGACGGGUGAGGAAUACAUCGGAAUCUACUUUUUCGUGGGGGAUAGCGUAGGGAAACUUACGCUAAUACCGCAUACGACCUACGGGUGAAAGCAGGGGAUCUUCGGACCUUGCGCGAUUGAAUGAGCCGAUGUCGGAUUAGCUAGUUGGCGGGGUAAAGGCCCACCAAGGCGACGAUCCGUAGCUGGUCUGAGAGGAUGAUCAGCCACACUGGAACUGAGACACGGUCCAGACUCCUACGGGAGGCAGCAGUGGGGAAUAUUGGACAAUGGGCGCAAGCCUGAUCCAGCCAUACCGCGUGGGUGAAGAAGGCCUUCGGGUUGUAAAGCCCUUUUGUUGGGAAAGAAAAGCAGCAGGUUAAUACCCCGCUGUUCUGACGGUACCCAAAGAAUAAGCACCGGCUAACUUCGUG